CCCAUGUCUCCCGGUGUCUCAGUGUCCCCAUGUGUGUCUUUGUCCCCAUGUCCCCUAGUGUCUCAGUGUCCCCUAGUGUUUCAGUGUCCCCAUGUGUGUGUUUGUGUGUGUGUCCUUGUCUCAGUGUCCCCAUGUGUGUCUGUGUCCCCAUGUCGCUAAGUGUCGCCAAGUGUCUUAGCAUCCCCAGAGGUCUCAAUGUGCCACAUGUCUCAUAGUGUCCCCUAGUGUCUUAGUGUCCCCAUGUCCCCCUGCAGCCUUUAUCCCAUCCCUCCCAUCUCUGAGCUGUAGGCUGUCUCUACAGGCUAGGAGCUGCUGUCUGGAC
Molecule: non-coding RNA, 322 nt
Organism: Pelobates cultripes (western spadefoot toad)
Lineage: Eukaryota; Metazoa; Chordata; Amphibia; Anura; Pelobatidae
Source: the annotation of a GenBank genome assembly